Long non-coding RNA from Sarcophilus harrisii (Tasmanian devil), 419 nucleotides. RefSeq lists it as uncharacterized. The record is from RefSeq and is a predicted model, not a curated record. Lineage: Eukaryota; Metazoa; Chordata; Mammalia; Dasyuromorphia; Dasyuridae. The transcript has 4 exons.
GCUUAUCAGGAAGAUUAUGAGUCAAGCUUUGCUUUGCACUGAAUUUUGACGAAGCUCAUGGGACCCAAUAUCUGCAGUCAGGAAAUGGGGCUGUAGUGUUUUGCUCUGCAACUCCAGUUGGAAUGAAACACACAAAGGAGCCUGGGCUGGUUAUGCAUGACAGGGCAUGAGAACUUCAGACUCACUACCAACAUCCUGCUCCUUUGGUUCGUGAUGGCUUCAGUGAUUCCAAAUGUACUGAUUUAAACUGAAUAGCACAGCUGGAGCCCUGUGAGAGACUGGCUGUCUCUUUUGCUUCGCAGAAGUGGGUCUUGCAUGAAGUAGGUGCUCAUUGUUUGUUGUUAAUUGUCAUAGUUACUUAAAUCUAAAGAGAACCAGCUUUAAAAACUAGACAUGAAACAUUGGAAUAAAAAUCUGAA